RNAcentral lists this ribosomal RNA (487 nucleotides) under uncultured bacterium. Its description in RNAcentral is "bacterial SSU rRNA". It matches the Rfam family "Bacterial small subunit ribosomal RNA", at positions 903 to 1397 of the family's 1533-position model. The record is from RNAcentral.
AAAUGAAUAGACGGGGGCCCGCACAAGCAGUGGAGUAUGUGGUUUAAUUCGAAGCAACGCGAAGAACCUUACCAGGUCUUGACAUCGGAUGCAUAGCUUAGAGAUAAGUGAAGUCCUUCGGGACAUCCAGACAGGUGGUGCAUGGUUGUCGUCAGCUCGUGUCGUGAGAUGUUGGGUUAAGUCCCGCAACGAGCGCAACCCUUAUGUUUAGUUGCUACGCAAGAGCACUCUAAAGAGACUGCCGUUGACAAAACGGAGGAAGGUGGGGAUGACGUCAAAUCAUCAUGCCCCUUAUGACCUGGGCCACACACGUACUACAAUGGCGAUCAACAGAGGGAAGCAAAGCCGCGAGGCAGAGCAAACCCCUAAAAGUCGUCUCAGUUCGGAUUGCAGGCUGCAACCCGCCUGCAUGAAGCCGGAAUUGCUAGUAAUCGCGGAUCAGCAUGCCGCGGUGAAUACGUUCCCGGGCCUUGUACACACCGCCCGU